This 407-nucleotide ribosomal RNA is filed under the name uncultured bacterium. RNAcentral describes it as "partial 16S ribosomal RNA". It matches the Rfam family "Bacterial small subunit ribosomal RNA", at positions 30 to 526 of the family's 1533-position model. The record is from RNAcentral.
AUUGAACGCUGGCGGCAGGCCUAACACAUGCAAGUCGAGCGCAGCGGCGGACGGGUACGUAAUGCCUAGGAAUCUGCCUGUUGGUGGGCGAUAACGUCCGGGAACGGGCGCUAAUAACGCAUGCUAUCAGCUCAGCCUAGGUCGGAGUUGCUAGUGGGGGGGGGAAAGGCCUACCAAGGCGACGAUCCGUAACUGGUCUGAGAGGAUGAUCAGUCACACUGGAACUGAGACACGGUCCAGACGCCUACGGGAGGCAGCAGUUGGGAAUAUUGGACAAUGGGCGAAAGCCUGAUCCAGCCACGCCGCGUGUGUGAAGAAGGUCUUCGGAUUGUAAAGCACUUUAAGUUGGGAGGCGUUACCAACAGAAUAAGCACCGGCUAACUUCGUGCCAGCAGCCGCGGUAAUAC